GACGAACGCUGGCGGCGUGCCUAAUACAUGCAAGUUGAGCGCUGAAGGUUGGUACUUGUACCAACUGGAUGAGCAGCGAACGGGUGAGUAACGCGUGGGGAAUCUGCCUUUGAGCGGGGGACAACAUUUGGAAACGAAUGCUAAUACCGCAUAAAAACUUUAAACACAAGUUUUAAGUUUGAAAGAUGCAAUUGCAUCACUCAAAGAUGAUCCCGCGUUGUAUUAGCUAGUUGGUGAGGUAAAGGCUCACCAAGGCGAUGAUACAUAGCCGACCUGAGAGGGUGAUCGGCCACAUUGGGACUGAGACACGGCCCAAACUCCUACGGGAGGCAGCAGUAGGGAAUCUUCGGCAAUGGACGAAAGUCUGACCGAUCAACGCCGCGUGAGUGAAGAAGGUUGUCGGAUCGUAAAACUCUGUUGGUAGAGAAGAACGUUGGUGAGAGUGGAAAGCUCAUCAAGUGACGGUAACUACCCAGAAAGGGACGGCUAACUACGUG
This 497-nucleotide ribosomal RNA is filed under the name uncultured bacterium. RNAcentral describes it as "partial 16S ribosomal RNA". It matches the Rfam family "Bacterial small subunit ribosomal RNA", at positions 28 to 507 of the family's 1533-position model. The record is from RNAcentral.